Molecule: ribosomal RNA, 301 nt
Filed under: uncultured bacterium
Lineage: Bacteria
Description: partial 16S ribosomal RNA
Rfam family: Bacterial small subunit ribosomal RNA
Source: RNAcentral
CAGUCGCCGCGGGAAUACAGAGGGUGCGAGCGUUAAUCGGAUUUACUGGGCGUAAAGCGUGCGUAGGCGGCUUCUUAAGUCGGAUGUGAAAUCCCUGAGCUUAACUUAGGAAUUGCAUUCGAUACUGGGAAGCUAGAGUAUGGGAGAGGAUGGUAGAAUUCCAGGUGUAGCGGUGAAAUGCGUAGAGAUCUGGAGGAAUACCGAUGGCGAAGGCAGCCAUCUGGCCUAAUACUGACGCUGAGGUACGAAAGCAUGGGGAGCAAACAGGAUUAGAUACCCAAGUAGUCCCUGUCUCUUAUAC